AGCCGCGGUAAUACGUAGGGUGCAAGCGUUAUCCGGAAUUAUUGGGCGUAAAGAGCUCGUAGGCGGUUUGUCGCGUCUGCUGUGAAAACCCGAGGCUCAACCUCGGGCCUGCAGUGGGUACGGGCAGACUAGAGUGCGGUAGGGGAGAUUGGAAUUCCUGGUGUAGCGGUGGAAUGCGCAGAUAUCAGGAGGAACACCGAUGGCGAAGGCAGAUCUCUGGGCCGUAACUGACGCUGAGGAGCGAAAGGGUGGGGAGCAAACAGGCUUAGAUACCCUGGUAGUCCACCCCGUAAACGUUGGGAACUAGUUGUGGGGACCAUUCCACGGUUUCCGUGACGCAGCUAACGCAUUAAGUUCCCCGCCUGGGGAGUACGGCCGCAAGGCUAAAACUCAAAGGAAUUGACGGGGACCCGCACAAGCGGCGGAGCAUGCGGAUUAAUUCGAUGCAACGCGAAGAACCUUACCAAGGCUUGACAUAUACGAGAACGGGCCAGAAAUGGUCAACUCUUUGGACACUCGUAAACAGGAGGUGCAUGGCC
This 539-nucleotide ribosomal RNA is filed under the name uncultured archaeon. RNAcentral's name for it is "bacterial SSU rRNA". It matches the Rfam family "Bacterial small subunit ribosomal RNA", at positions 513 to 1050 of the family's 1533-position model. The record is from RNAcentral.